Molecule: ribosomal RNA, 397 nt
Filed under: uncultured bacterium
Lineage: Bacteria
Description: partial 16S ribosomal RNA
Rfam family: Bacterial small subunit ribosomal RNA
Source: RNAcentral
AUACGUAGGUGACAAGCGUUAUCCGGAUUUACUGGGCGUAAAGGGCGUGUAGGCGGUCUUGCAAGUCAGAAGUGAAAUUCCUGAGCUCAACUCGGGCGCUGCUUCUGAAACUGCAGGACUUGAGUGCUGGAGGGGAUAGCGGAAUUCCUAGUGGAGCGGUAAAAUGCGCAGAUAUUAGGAAGAACACCGGUGGCGAAGGCGGCUAUCUGGACAGUAACGGACGCUGAGGCGCGAAAGCGUGGGGAGCAAACAGGAUUAGAUACCCUUGUAGUCCACGCCGUAAACGAUGAAUACUAGGUGUAGGGGGUAUCGACUCCCUCUGUGCCGCAGUUAACACAAUAAGUAUUCCGCCUGGGGAGUACGGCCGCAAGGUUGAAACUCAAAUGAAUUGACGGGG